Suricata suricatta (meerkat) is the source of this 1101-nucleotide long non-coding RNA. RefSeq lists it as uncharacterized. The record is from RefSeq and is a predicted model, not a curated record. NCBI's taxonomy places the organism in Eukaryota, Metazoa, Chordata, Mammalia, Carnivora, Herpestidae. The transcript has 4 exons.
CAUUCCUGCCGGCUCCAAGCACGCAGUCCUUAAACCCCAGUGCCGGAACCGUCCUUCCCGCCCCCUCAGAGAUGCCUACUGUGUGCUGAGCAUCAGUCAGGCACUCCAUGUACACCAUCCCAUGCGGGGUUUCUGAUGGAAGAGGAGAAAACGGGGUGCUGACCUUAUUCAUGUUAACACACACUUAUUCUGUGCCACACCUGGCCAGGUGCAGAGACAAGCGAGACCGAUGGUCAGCGUGCUUCCUUCCAGCUAAUUAAGACACUGUGUGUUGGUCCCAGCCUGGAGUUUCUGCUCAGUACCUGAUGGGGGGAGCCCUCCCUGGCAAGCUCCUUACAGCAUUCUUGUGAAAAAAUGCUCUUUGGAGAAACAGAGAGAAUUUCCAUCGCUGGGAAGCUGUGUGGAAUCAGCCCCCUCUCCGUCCCCUCCAGUGACCUGUCUGUGUUGGCAGCAGGGCACAUGCCCACCUUCUACCCUCACCCAUGACCCCAAUCUGGAAGAUCCUCCAAGAUUCAAAGAGGAUGGGGAGGUUCAGAGCCGGCUGGGAAGCGAGGCAGGGCCAUUGCAGGGAGAGGUACCAGCCCGGGACAGCUUCUGGAAGCCAUCUUGUCCCUACUGGCUUGCUCUGUCUUCUCCAUCCUCCCUUCUCUCCAGACACCGGAUCUUCACAUCAUUCCCCACCCCCACGACGCCUAUGCUAGUGGGGCCAUGGGCCCAGCCUCCCCUCAGGCAUCAUGGAGGACACUCCAAGCAUGGAUGGCGUGCACGCAGGCCUGGCCGUUCACAGAUGUGUAGGACUUGCGUGAGCAAGGAAGGAGAUAAAGAAACUGAGGCACAGAGAAGUUGGGUAAGUGACCCAUGGACAGACAGUUCUUUGUUAGAACAAUCAGACGUGCCAACUCCAGAUGGACGCCGUUGAGAAGGAGAAACCCGGCGGCUCCCUGCAUCGGUUCAAUCAUACGUGUAGGAGAAGAAGCUUCUCGUCAACUCUUUGGUUACGCUGAGGCGCGGUACACGGGCAAAGCAGGACAAAUCCUGGAUUUUCCCCUCUCAUUUAUCAGUCUUCAAAGUAAUAAAUGGGAUGGUUUUCAUGCUCUAAAA